CUCAUCAAGAGUGGCGGAGGGACAGGCCCUGUGAAGCCCGGCAACCGGAGAAAAUUCGGUGCCAAAUCCUGCGGCGCAAGCUGAGAGAUGAG
This 92-nucleotide non-coding RNA is filed under the name human gut metagenome. RNAcentral's name for it is "SAM riboswitch (S box leader)". It matches the Rfam family "SAM riboswitch aptamer (S box leader)". Rfam says of the family: The SAM riboswitch is found upstream of a number of genes which code for proteins involved in methionine or cysteine biosynthesis in Gram-positive bacteria. The record is from RNAcentral.